GGUUGUAUAGUGUAGCGGUUAUCACAUCGGAUUCUGAGCAGCCUCUGGCGUUCACGAAUGUUCCGGGAACCCCGGUUCGAGUA
Lophiostoma macrostomum CBS 122681 is the source of this 83-nucleotide non-coding RNA. The record is from the annotation of a GenBank genome assembly. Lineage: Eukaryota; Fungi; Ascomycota; Dothideomycetes; Pleosporales; Lophiostomataceae.